ACAACGGCUCUUUUCAGAGCCACCCAUCUUUUCACAGUAAGAGCUGG
Chelonia mydas (Green sea turtle) is the source of this 47-nucleotide non-coding RNA. NCBI's taxonomy places the organism in Eukaryota, Metazoa, Chordata, Testudines, Cheloniidae. The record is from Rfam.